Molecule: ribosomal RNA, 450 nt
Filed under: Streptococcus sp. oral taxon 058
Lineage: Bacteria; Bacillati; Bacillota; Bacilli; Lactobacillales; Streptococcaceae
Description: bacterial SSU rRNA
Rfam family: Bacterial small subunit ribosomal RNA
Source: RNAcentral
GACGAACGCGGCGGCGUGCCUAAUACAUGCAAGUAGAACGCUGAAGGAGGAGCUUGCUUCUCUGGAUGAGUUGCGAACGGGUGAGUAACGCGUAGGUAACCUGCCUGGUAGCGGGGGAUAACUAUUGGAAACGAUAGCUAAUACCGCAUAAUAUUGACUAUUGCAUGAUAGUUGAUUAAAAGGUGCAAUUGCACCACUACCAGAUGGACCUGCGUUGUAUUAGCUAGUUGGUGAGGUAACGGCUCACCAAGGCGACGAUACAUAGCCGACCUGAGAGGGUGAUCGGCCACACUGGGACUGAGACACGGCCCAGACUCCUACGGGAGGCAGCAGUAGGGAAUCUUUGGCAAUGGACGGAAGUCUGAUCCGAGCAACGCCGCGUGAGUGAAGAAGGUUUUCGGAUCGUAAAGCUCUGUGUAAGAGAAGAACGAGUGUGAGAGUGGAAAGUUC